GUCGAGAAUAGUCUACAAUGGACGAAAGUCUGAUAGUGCGACGCCGCGUGAACGAAGAAGCCCUUCGGGGUGUAAAGUUCUUUUAUAUGUGAGUAGUGCCCUUUAUAUGAAUAGUAUAAGGGGAGGGAAUUAAGCAUAAGAAUAAGCAACGGCUAACUCCGUGCCAGCAGCCGCGGUAACACGGGGGUUGCAAGCGUUGUCCGGAAUUACUAGGCGUAAAGUGCAGGAAGGCGGAUAGAUAAGUUUAAGGUUAAAGGCUACGGCUUACCCGUAGUAAGGCAUUAGAUACUGUUUAUCUGGAAUGCGGUUGAGGGAGACAGAAUUCCUGGUGUAGCGGUGGAAUGCGCAGAGAUCAGGAGGAAUACCGAAGGCGAAGGCAGUCUUCUAAGCCGAAAUUGACGCUAAACUGCGAAGGUGUGGGGAUCAAACAGGAUUAGAAACCCUUGUAGUCC
RNAcentral lists this ribosomal RNA (452 nucleotides) under uncultured bacterium. RNAcentral describes it as "partial 16S ribosomal RNA". It matches the Rfam family "Bacterial small subunit ribosomal RNA", at positions 354 to 796 of the family's 1533-position model. The record is from RNAcentral.